Molecule: ribosomal RNA, 914 nt
Filed under: Parasola conopilea
Lineage: Eukaryota; Fungi; Basidiomycota; Agaricomycetes; Agaricales; Psathyrellaceae
Description: eukaryotic LSU rRNA
Rfam family: Eukaryotic large subunit ribosomal RNA
Source: RNAcentral
GGAGGAAAAGAAACUAACAAGGAUUCCCCUAGUAACUGCGAGUGAAGAGGGAAAAGCUCAAAUUUAAAAUCUGGCGGCAUUUAGCCGUCCGAGUUGUAAUCUAGAGAAGUGUUACCCGCGCCGGACCGUGUAUAAGUCUCCUGGAAUGGAGCGUCAUAGAGGGUGAGAAUCCCGUCUUCGACACGGAUCCCCGGGGCUUUGUGGUGCGCUCUCAACGAGUCGAGUUGUUUGGGAAUGCAGCUCAAAAUGGGUGGUAAAUUCCAUCUAAAGCUAAAUAUUGGCGAGAGACCGAUAGCGAACAAGUACCGUGAGGGAAAGAUGAAAAGAACUUUGGAAAGAGAGUUAAACAGUACGUGAAAUUGCUGAAAGGGAAACGCUUGAAGUCAGUCGCGUCGUCUGGAAAUCAACCUUGCUCUUUUGCUGGGCGUACUUUCCAGUUGACGGGCCAGCAUCAGUUUUGACCGGUGGAAAAAGUCCAAGGGAAUGUGGCACCUUCGGGUGUGUUAUAGCCUUUGGUCGUAUACAUCGAUUGGGACUGAGGAACUCAGCACGCCGAAAGGCCGGGUCUUCGGACCACGUUCGUGCUUAGGAUGCUGGCAUAAUGGCUUUAAUCGACCCGUCUUGAAACACGGACCAAGGAGUCUAACAUGCCUGCGAGUGUUUGGGUGGAAAACCCGAGCGCGUAAUGAAAGUGAAAGUUGAGAUCCCUGUCGCGGGGAGCAUCGACGCCCGGACCAGACGUUCUCUGACGGAUCCGCGGUAGAGCAUGUAUGUUGGGACCCGAAAGAUGGUGAACUAUGCCUGAAUAGGGUGAAGCCAGAGGAAACUCUGGUGGAGGCUCGUAGCGAUUCUGACGUGCAAAUCGAUCGUCAAAUUUGGGUAUAGGGGCGAAAGACUAAUCGAACCAUCUAGAC